This 500-nucleotide ribosomal RNA is filed under the name uncultured bacterium. RNAcentral's name for it is "partial 16S ribosomal RNA". It matches the Rfam family "Bacterial small subunit ribosomal RNA", at positions 29 to 523 of the family's 1533-position model. The record is from RNAcentral.
AUUGAACGCUGGCGGCAUGCCUUACACAUGCAAGUCGAACGGCAGCACGGGAGCAAUCCUGGUGGCGAGUGGCGAACGGGUGAGUAAAGUAUCGGAACGUGCCCAGUCGUGGGGGAUAACGUAGCGAAAGUUACGCUAAUACCGCAUACGAUCUAUGGAUGAAAGCGGGGGAUCGCAAGACCUCGCGCGAUUGGAGCGGCCGAUAUCAGAUUAGGUAGUUGGUGGGGUAAAGGCGCACCAAGCCGACGAUCUGUAGCCGGUCUGAGAGGACGAGCGGAGACGGUGGGAAUGAGACACGGCACAGACUCCUACGGGAGGAAGCAGUAGGGGAUUUUGGACAAUGGGCGAAAGCCUGAUCCAGCCAUGCCGGGUGCAGGAUGAAGGCCUUCGGGUUGUAAACUGCUUUUGUACGGAACGAAAAGGUUUGGCCUAAUAAGCUGAGCUUAUGACGGUACCGUAAGAAUAAGCACCGGCUAACUACGUGCCAGCCGCCGCAGUAA